RNAcentral lists this long non-coding RNA (433 nucleotides) under Mytilus galloprovincialis (Mediterranean mussel). Lineage: Eukaryota; Metazoa; Mollusca; Bivalvia; Mytilida; Mytilidae. The record is from RNAcentral.
UAGGGUACUGCAAUUUUGAUAAAUGAGGUAUUUUUUUAUAAUGUAUAUACUAAAAGAGAAAACAAAACACAUAAUAGCAUAAAUUUGAUUUAUUUUACUCUUUUAUCUCUACACUGAGCAAGCUAAAAUCAAAAGUACAAAAUUGCAUAACAAGCGCAUAGUAUUCAACUUUUUAUCAUAACUUUGUAACCACUGAAGAUUUUUUGUUGCAACAACCAGUAAAAGAAAGAUGAAUAAAUUGUCUGUAACAGUGAACCAAUAAUGUAGUUCAAAUUAAGUUCACUUAUUAACUAUCAAAUGAUAAAAACAGCAAAAUUUUAAAUGAAACAACAUAACGUGAAAUUUUGCCCAUUUUCAGCGUGUAUUUUAGUGUUUUUUUUUUCAAAACGGUAACACCUAUACAUAAUAUUUGAUAUUCAUUGUGAAGCCCUAC